RNAcentral lists this transfer RNA (72 nucleotides) under Pseudactinotalea sp. HY160. RNAcentral describes it as "tRNA-Gln". It matches the Rfam family "tRNA". From Rfam's summary of the family: Transfer RNA (tRNA) molecules are approximately 80 nucleotides in length. Their secondary structure includes four short double-helical elements and three loops (D, anti-codon, and T loops). Further hydrogen bonds mediate the characteristic L-shaped molecular structure. tRNAs have two regions of fundamental functional importance: the anti-codon, which is responsible for specific mRNA codon recognition, and the 3' end, to which the tRNAs corresponding amino acid is attached (by aminoacyl-tRNA synthetases). tRNAs cope with the degeneracy of the genetic code in two manners: having more than one tRNA (with a specific anti-codon) for a particular amino acid; and 'wobble' base-pairing, i.e. permitting non-standard base-pairing at the 3rd anti-codon position. Lineage: Bacteria; Bacillati; Actinomycetota; Actinomycetes; Micrococcales; Cellulomonadaceae. The record is from RNAcentral. RNAcentral also lists the same sequence under 1 other name.
UCCGCCCUGGUGUAAAGGCAGCACGCCGGCCUUUGGAGCCGUGCAGUCCAGGUUCGAAUCCUGGGGGCGGAG